RNAcentral lists this transfer RNA (73 nucleotides) under Acidithrix ferrooxidans. It matches the Rfam family "tRNA". From Rfam's summary of the family: Transfer RNA (tRNA) molecules are approximately 80 nucleotides in length. Their secondary structure includes four short double-helical elements and three loops (D, anti-codon, and T loops). Further hydrogen bonds mediate the characteristic L-shaped molecular structure. tRNAs have two regions of fundamental functional importance: the anti-codon, which is responsible for specific mRNA codon recognition, and the 3' end, to which the tRNAs corresponding amino acid is attached (by aminoacyl-tRNA synthetases). tRNAs cope with the degeneracy of the genetic code in two manners: having more than one tRNA (with a specific anti-codon) for a particular amino acid; and 'wobble' base-pairing, i.e. permitting non-standard base-pairing at the 3rd anti-codon position. Lineage: Bacteria; Bacillati; Actinomycetota; Acidimicrobiia; Acidimicrobiales; Acidimicrobiaceae. The record is from Rfam by way of RNAcentral. RNAcentral also lists the same sequence under 1 other name.
GCCCGGGUAGCUCAGUCGGCAGAGCAGCUCACUCGUAAUGAGCAGGUCAGGAGUUCGAAUCUCCUCUCGGGCU